Molecule: long non-coding RNA, 1180 nt
Filed under: Brassica napus (rape)
Lineage: Eukaryota; Viridiplantae; Streptophyta; Magnoliopsida; Brassicales; Brassicaceae
Description: long non-coding RNA (BNAP_LNC023564)
Source: RNAcentral
CUGUGCGUCAACACACAAGCUUUAAGAAUCAAACACAUGAAGUUAGUUACUAACAUUCAUAGAGUUUAACAUCCAUCUUAACACGGAAAUACUUAGCCCCUUGAAAUAUAUCCGUCACGAAGGUAGCGAUCCCACGAGCCAUGAAGAAAUCACCCGUCCCACCCACGACCGAUAGAUCUCUUGUCGGCUCCAUCAUCAAAUCCGCACCCAUUAUGUUCAAUGUCCCUUUGUGUUGCGUCGAGUUAAACACCAAGGUGUAGCAAAACCACGCAUUGUAGUCCAUCUUCAUGUCAUAGAAAUAGAAGCCUUGUGCGCGAGCUAGAGGUUCUGAGAGAUAGUUCUUGUCCAUUGUUAUGGGGCCAUCAAAGAUCACAAACUUACCGAACUUGAAGUUUCCUAAUCCUGGUGGGCUCACUAUAGCGGCUGAGGUUGCGUUUGCUACAUUGUCACCAUCGUAGAGGAUGUCAUGAAAGUAGAAGGAGAAGUGUUUGCAAGGUUUUCUCUGAUCAAAUGUUUUUCGGGACGAAAAAACUGUAUGGGAAAAGAGGACUAAUAAGAAGAAUGAGAAGAGGGACUUAAGGAGUUGUUUCUCUACAAGAGAUGCCAUGGUUAGCUAGAGACGACUAGUGAGUUGUGUAAAUUGAAGAUCGCUUACACCCCCAUUAAUAUAGAAGUUAUUCACAUGAGUUAGUGAAGAUAAUUUAUUUGGAUAAAAUGAAAGAAUUUUAAAAGUUUGAGGGGACUGCUAAAUUGGUUGUUCACGUACGUUUCGUCAAUUAAAAUAUAAAUUCGAUUGACAAGAAAGGUUUAAGAUCAUGUGGCGGGGUUGGUGCAAAACUAAGCAACAAGUUAAUUUCACUUUCUUGAAAGGUUUAAUGAUUUAAUACUGUUAAACCGGUUGGUGGCCUAUGUUGGAUCCAACCUCACAUUUUAUCUGUGCGUCAACACACAAGCUUUAAGAAUCAAACACAUGAAGUUAGUUACUAACAUUCAUAGAGUUUAACAUCCAUCUUAACACGGAAAUACUUAGCCCCUUGAAAUAUAUCCGUCACGAAGGUAGCGAUCCCACGAGCCAUGAAGAAAUCACCCGUCCCACCCACGACCGAUAGAUCUCUUGUCGGCUCCAUCAUCAAAUCCGCACCCAUUAUGUUCAAUGUCCCUUUGUGUUGCGUCGAGUUAA